GCUCGGGUGGCGAAAUUGGCAGACGCGACGGUCUUAGAAGCCGUUGGAGCAAUCCUUAGGGGUUCGAGUCCCCUCCCGAGCACCA
Molecule: transfer RNA, 85 nt
Filed under: mine drainage metagenome
Description: tRNA-Leu
Rfam family: tRNA
About the family: Transfer RNA (tRNA) molecules are approximately 80 nucleotides in length.
Source: RNAcentral